AGAAGAAGAAGAAGAGGGAAAAAAAAAGAAGACCGAUUAGCAGAAUACACAUCAAGAUCAAGAUCAAGAUGUAAACAAAGAGCGCCAAGCAAGCAAACUGACAAUCAUUCGUCUAUUUUCCGUUCUUUUCCUAAUUAUUCCACGCCUGACGCUUAAGUUUCCACCGUGCAGUGUUACGUCACCACCGGCACUGCGCGUGGGGUGUUGUGUGGGGACCCGGGAAGGACCACAAAGCCAGCUAAGCCACAGAGAAGCAGAAAGCCAGUCAGCCAGCACUGGGGAGACUGUCAGAGUGGCUUAGAGGAAGAGGAAGAGGAGGAGGAGGUGAAGGAGGACAUAGUGGAGAGAAGAGAGCAGGAAAAAGAAGGGAAAUUAGAAGAAAAGGAAAAGA
Molecule: long non-coding RNA, 391 nt
Organism: Portunus trituberculatus (swimming crab)
Lineage: Eukaryota; Metazoa; Arthropoda; Malacostraca; Decapoda; Portunidae
Exons: 2
Source: RefSeq, a predicted model, not a curated record